This is a non-coding RNA of Camellia sinensis, 731 nucleotides long. The record is from RefSeq and is a predicted model, not a curated record. NCBI's taxonomy places the organism in Eukaryota, Viridiplantae, Streptophyta, Magnoliopsida, Ericales, Theaceae.
CUUUUGCAGCAUCUUGAAGACCAUGCUUCUUAGUUGUAUUUCAUUGUAUUUUGUAUUUGAUGGCUGAGAAGCCUUUUAGUCAAGAUAUAUUUUUGUACUUCAUUUUGUUGUAUUAAAGCUAUGUGAAGAUGUAUGCUAUUCUAUUUAACUUAUGCACUGCUCCUAUGGAUUCCUUAGCUUUGAAUUUAUUGCUUCCACAUUUGUAAGCCCCAUAUGUAUACUCUGAUUGUGUGUGAAUUUUGAAAGUUGGCCUUGGGUAAUUUCGAAUUACUGGCCAUCAUGGCGCCAUUCUACUAGGGGCAGAAUGGGGUCGUGACAAUAAUAUAUAAGGUAAAAAACACUGAAGUGUUUGAGAAUGGCUUCUUGGAUUUUUAUGAAAAAAUGAGCAAAAAAGUAGAGAUAAUGGGAAGACAAGAAAUACAACAGGGUUAGUUGCUCCAGCUAUUGCUGCAGGUUUAGGUGCCUUAACACAUACAUUGGGCACCCUCGUCAUUGUGAUAGGAGCAAGUGGAUUUGCUAUAGAUGCAGCUGCAACUGCUAUAGAAACUGUUAUCAGUAGUUUUAGAUAAUCUCUUAAUAGUUGUCGAUAUGUUUAGAAAGUUAGAUAUGCAUAGUUUUGGAUGGUUUAAACUUUUUGUACAGUUUAGAACUUAAGGGUAUAGUUUUCAAAUGUUUGGAAUGUAUAGACAAUUGUUGAAUGUUUAUAAUUUAUGGAUAUAGUUUUUUUUUUU